AGUUGCGGUGGAAACAAAGGCAGUUCUCGCUUCAGAUUCCUCCCAGAUAGCAAUAUGUCAGGAGCCCCUGGAGAGGCUGAAAGUAAAUGAAUCAGUGCUAGAAAGUGAAGGAUCUCAUCCGUGCUGAAUGGUGAGAAGGAGUCCUGAGCAGCAUCUCCAUUGAUUUUCCCGUAAUUGACACCCAGCUCGGCUCGCCGGAGGCUGCGCGGGAGCGCCAGGCCCAGGACCCCUGGAAUCCCCUCUGCUGUCGGAGCAGGCCCAGCAGUGACAGAUCCCAGUGUGGCCUUAGCGGGACAGUGGGAGAGACAAGCAGGCACAGAGACCUGCCAGAGCCCCGGAUGCUCCAGGAUUUCCAGGCUCCACAA
Molecule: long non-coding RNA, 365 nt
Organism: Pseudopipra pipra
Lineage: Eukaryota; Metazoa; Chordata; Aves; Passeriformes; Pipridae
Exons: 3
Source: RefSeq, a predicted model, not a curated record